GUCCUUUUGAUUGUAAUUUAAGGUCUGACCUGCCCACUGAUAUAAAUUGAAGGGCCGCGGUAUUUUGACCGUGCAAAGGUAGCAUAAUCAUUAGUCUUUUAAUUGGAGGCUGGAAUGAAGGGUUGGACGAGGCAUAGGCUGUCUCAUUGUAAUUGGGGCUAGAAUUUAACUUUUGAGUGAAAAGGCUUAAAUAGUUUUAAAGGACGAGAAGACCCUAUUAAAUCUUUAUUUUGAGGGCUUUAUUAAUAGUUUGGGUAGGUUAUUUUUUAUUAGAGAAUUCAAUAUUUUGUUGGGGUGACGGGAAGAUAGGUUGAACUCUUUUUAUACGAAAGACACUGAUUUGUGUAUCGAUGAU
This 355-nucleotide ribosomal RNA is filed under the name Togoperla limbata. RNAcentral's name for it is "partial 16S ribosomal RNA". Lineage: Eukaryota; Metazoa; Arthropoda; Insecta; Plecoptera; Perlidae. The record is from RNAcentral.